RNAcentral lists this ribosomal RNA (907 nucleotides) under Lecanora cinereofusca. RNAcentral's name for it is "SSU rRNA". It matches the Rfam family "Bacterial small subunit ribosomal RNA", at positions 370 to 1208 of the family's 1533-position model. The record is from RNAcentral. Lineage: Eukaryota; Fungi; Ascomycota; Lecanoromycetes; Lecanorales; Lecanoraceae.
AAUAGCCUAACGGCUGAACCAGCAACUUGGAGGAAUGUAUAGCGAAAGCUAAUUGUAUCAAUAUAUAGUUGAUGCAAUAUCGACUAAGUUGAAUAAAAUUCUAGGUAGAAUUAUGAUAAUGACAUUUUCUGCCUAUGUGUCUUGACCAAAUUACGUGCCAGCAGUCGCGGUAAUACGUAGAAGACUAGUGUUAUUCAUCUUUAAUUGGUUUAAAGGGUACCUAGACGGUAAAUCAAGCCUUCAAGGGGACUAAUUUACUAGAGUUACUUAUGAGGGGGCAGUAAAGUACUGCUGGUGUAGAGAUGAAAUUCUGUCAUACCUAAUUCAUAUAACGUCUUCUAGACGAAAGAACCUACGGCACAGGUAUAGGCGAAAGCAUCUCCUUAUGUGAUAACUGACGUUGAGGGACGAAGGCUUUGUGUAGCGAACAGGAUUAGAUACCCAAGUAGUCAAAGCAGAAAAUGAUGAAUGUCAUAGAUUAGACAUAUAGUUUAUUCUAUAAAUGAAAGUGUAAGCAUUCCACCUCAAGAGUAAUUUGGCAACAUUGGAACUGAAAUCAUUAGACCGUUUCUGAAACCAGUAGUGAAGUAUGUUGUUUAAUUUGAUAGUCCUCAAAAAACCUUACCACAAUUUGAAUAUUUAUGUUUUGAUUAGUUCUGUUUUUAAAACUUGUUUCAUAAAAACAAGAAAAUAUAUAAAACUAAGUUUUUUUGUUAAUAAUAAACGGGCUGGAACUAAUUAAGACAUAUCUACAAGCGUUGCACGGCUGUCUUCAGUUAAUGUCGUGAGAUUUUGGUUAGUUCCAUUAAAUUAACGUAAACCCUUACUUUAUUUUUAGAUAAAGUAGUUCCCCAAUAUAUUGGAUAAGAUAACAGGGACUAAGACAAGUCAUCAUGGCCUAAACCUA